This is a non-coding RNA of Tetraodon nigroviridis (spotted green pufferfish), 88 nucleotides long. The record is from Rfam. Lineage: Eukaryota; Metazoa; Chordata; Actinopteri; Tetraodontiformes; Tetraodontidae.
AUGUGACCUAUGGACUUCCCUUUGUUAUCCUAUGCCUGGACUCAAAAAAGGGGCUGGGAGGGCAAAGGGUUGCCCAGUUGUCAUACAG